AAUAGCAUAGCCAACUUCUGGCUGUCAACAUCAUAAGGCAAAUUACCCACAAAAAUCUUGGCAUCCUCAGGCGGCUCCACAAAGCCAUCCUCUGUGUCAGCCUGCUCAAAACCCCCUUCACCACUCUCUCCAUCACUGCCGACCGCCUCCACCACUGCAUCUUCUCCGCCAGACUCCCAAUCAGAAACUUGGGCUUCAGAAUCAUCACUUGGUUGGUUUUCCCAUGUCGAUUCCACUUGUUCUGAUUCUGUUAGAGUAAUUGUGGAGUCGCCUUCCUCUUCUUUCUGUGUCCAAUCUGAGGUCUGGGCUACGAAGCGAAUAAAGGAAGAGAAGUGGGUCUUGUGUUUGAGAGAGAGAGAUGAUAGGGAGUGAGAGGAGUAGGAGAGCUGGAGCCUAACGGGUCUGGCAGGGACUGAGACACAUUGGUAGGGAGGUUUUGAAGUAAAAAUGGAAGGGAGUGAGAAGAGGCAUGAGUCUGCCAUUGGUAGACGCUUGAAGGUAGGAGCUGGUGCUGUGGCAGACAUUUUUAGGGAGGAAGGGAGGGGUUUAGAGGAAGGCCAAGGAGGAUAAGGGGCAGAGAUAGAG
This 585-nucleotide long non-coding RNA is filed under the name Manihot esculenta (cassava). RNAcentral's name for it is "long non-coding RNA (MESC_LNC008318)". The record is from RNAcentral. Lineage: Eukaryota; Viridiplantae; Streptophyta; Magnoliopsida; Malpighiales; Euphorbiaceae.